Molecule: long non-coding RNA, 188 nt
Filed under: Cavia porcellus (domestic guinea pig)
Lineage: Eukaryota; Metazoa; Chordata; Mammalia; Rodentia; Caviidae
Description: lncRNA (ENSCPOG00000037306.1)
Source: RNAcentral
GGAUUUUGUGUGAUGUGUACAGUGCAGGCACAUAUUAUCCAGGCACUCAGUCAUCCUGGGGAUGCUAUUCACCCCAUCUCUGUGAUCAUUAUAGCUAGUCACUUCCGGUUUGGAAACCAAGAAGAUGCUCACAAAUUUCUUCAGUACACUCUUGAUGCUAUGCAGGAAGCGUGCUUACAGGGCAGCUA